CCUACGGGGGGCAGCAGUGGGGAAUAUUGGGCAAUGGGCGCAAGCCUGACCCAGCAAUGCCGCGUGAAGGAAGAAGGCUCUCGGGUUGUAAACUUCUUUGACAGGGGAAGAGCAGAAGACGGUACCCUGAAAACAAGCUACGGCUAACUACGUGCCAGCAGCCGCGGUAAUACGUAGGUGGCAAGCGUUGUCCGGAUUUACUGGGUGUAAAGGGCGUGUAGCCGGGAAGGCAAGUCAGAUGUGAAAUCUGGAGGCUCAACCUCCAAAUUGCAUUUGAAACUGUUUUUCUUGAGUACUGGAGAGGCAGACGGAAUUCCUUGUGUAGCGGUGAAAUGCGUAGAUAUAAGGAGGAACACCAGUGGCGAAGGCGGUCUGCUGAACAGCCACUGACGGUGAGGCGCGAAAGCGUGGGGAGCAAACAGGAUUAGAUACCCCUGUAGUC
RNAcentral lists this ribosomal RNA (442 nucleotides) under uncultured bacterium. Its description in RNAcentral is "partial 16S ribosomal RNA". It matches the Rfam family "Bacterial small subunit ribosomal RNA", at positions 338 to 795 of the family's 1533-position model. The record is from RNAcentral.